GACUAACGUUGGCGGCGUGCCUAAUACAUGCAAGUCGAACGCUUUGGUAGCAAUAUCAGAGAGUGGCGAACGGGUGAGUAACACGUGGAUGAUCUACCUCUAAGAUUGAGAUAACCCAUCGAAAGGUGGGCUAAUACCGAAUAUGACUACGAUCCGUAUCCGGAAUGUAGUAAAAGGCGGGGACCGCAAGGCCUGCCACUUAGAGAUGAGUCUGCGGCUGAUUAGCUAGUUGGCGGGGUAAUGGCCCACCAAGGCAACGAUCAGUAGCCGGCCUGAGAGGGUGUACGGCCACACUGGAACUGAGACACGGUCCAGACUCCUACGGGAGGCAGCAGGUAGGGUAAUUUUCCGCAAUGGGCGAAAGCCUGAC
RNAcentral lists this ribosomal RNA (370 nucleotides) under uncultured bacterium. RNAcentral's name for it is "bacterial SSU rRNA". It matches the Rfam family "Bacterial small subunit ribosomal RNA", at positions 28 to 387 of the family's 1533-position model. The record is from RNAcentral.